RNAcentral lists this transfer RNA (75 nucleotides) under Methanocaldococcus fervens AG86. RNAcentral's name for it is "tRNA-Arg (GCG) (tRNA-Arg-GCG-1-1)". It matches the Rfam family "tRNA". Rfam says of the family: Transfer RNA (tRNA) molecules are approximately 80 nucleotides in length. Their secondary structure includes four short double-helical elements and three loops (D, anti-codon, and T loops). The record is from RNAcentral. Lineage: Archaea; Methanobacteriati; Methanobacteriota; Methanococci; Methanococcales; Methanocaldococcaceae.
GCCCGGGUCGCCUAGCCAGGAUAGGGCGCUGGCCUGCGGAGCCAGUUGUCAGGGGUUCAAAUCCCCUCCCGGGCG